GAGGAAUAUUGGUCAAUGGGCGAGAGCCUGAACCAGCCAAGUAGCGUGCAGGAUGACGGCCCUAUGGGUUGUAAACUGCUUUUGUGCGGGAAUAACGGUCGACACGUGUGUUGAUGUGCAUGUACCGUACGAAUAAGGAUCGGCUAACUCC
Molecule: ribosomal RNA, 151 nt
Filed under: uncultured bacterium
Lineage: Bacteria
Description: partial 16S ribosomal RNA
Rfam family: Bacterial small subunit ribosomal RNA
Source: RNAcentral